RNAcentral lists this ribosomal RNA (537 nucleotides) under Triticum aestivum (bread wheat). RNAcentral describes it as "partial small subunit ribosomal RNA". Lineage: Eukaryota; Viridiplantae; Streptophyta; Magnoliopsida; Poales; Poaceae. The record is from RNAcentral.
AUGUACAUUGAACUGGAUGAGAAAAAGAAGCCAUUUACAUUAAUGCAUUGCUACAUAGAGUUUGAGAAGUAUCCAAAGUGGCAGACACGUCCGCUUCCUCAGAAGAAACAAAAGAAGACCUCGGAUGCUAGUCCGGGUACAACAUCCAACGAUGAAGACUUCGGCGCAUGCACUGAUGCUCUUGAAGAAGAGCUAAGACCUCCUGGUACGAAGCAUGACAAGAAUGAACGUUUGAGGAAAGGUAAAACUUCUGAAUCCAAUGAUAGUGGUUGCAAGUUAUCAUUAGAAAGUGUGUGGGCACAGAAGAUAGAGAAGGAUGAUAUCAAAGAGGCCACAAAAAUUGCUCGCUACGCGAGAGCUUUUGAAUUGCAAGAGAAGCAGAUUGCAUUGCAAGAGAAGGAGGAUGCACGGAAACAGUUUGAAUUAGAUGAGAAAAUCAUGCUCAUGGACACAUCUCAUAUGAGUGAUGCACAGAAGCAAUUCUACAAGAAUAAACAAGAUGAGAUCAUUGCUCGCUGCCAGAACACAUCUGGUUGA